ACGAACGCUGGCGGCGUGCCUAAUACAUGCAAGUAGAACGCUGAAGCUUGGUGCUUGCACCGAGCGGAUGAGUUGCGAACGGGUGAGUAACGCGUAGGUAACCUGCCUGGUAGCGGGGGAUAACUAUUGGAAACGAUAGCUAAUACCGCAUAACAGUAGAUAUCGCAUGAUAGCUACUUGAAAGGUGCAAAUGCACCACUACCAGAUGGACCUGCGUUGUAUUAGCUAGUUGGUGAGGUAACGGCUCACCAAGGCAACGAUACAUAGCCGACCUGAGAGGGUGAUCGGCCACACUGGGACUGAGACACGGCCCAGACUCCUACGGGAGGCAGCAGUAGGGAAUCUUCGGCAAUGGACGGAAGUCUGACCGAGCAACGCCGCGUGAGUGAAGAAGGUUUUCGGAUCGUAAAGCUCUGUUGUAAGAGAAGAACGAGUGUGAGAGUGGAAAGUUCACACUGUGACGGUAUCUUACCAGAAAGGGACGGCUAACUACGUG
This 496-nucleotide ribosomal RNA is filed under the name uncultured bacterium. Its description in RNAcentral is "partial 16S ribosomal RNA". It matches the Rfam family "Bacterial small subunit ribosomal RNA", at positions 29 to 507 of the family's 1533-position model. The record is from RNAcentral.